Neolamprologus brichardi is the source of this 473-nucleotide non-coding RNA. Lineage: Eukaryota; Metazoa; Chordata; Actinopteri; Cichliformes; Cichlidae. The record is from RefSeq and is a predicted model, not a curated record.
CUGCAGAUGUAACAAGGCGAGCAGCCCGCUUUUCUCCUGCCCGGUCACGUGUUUUGACGGGAAGGAUGACAUUCCUCAUGAUUUACAAGCUUGGAAAGACAUCACAUCAGGAGAUUUCACCAUAAAGAUGUUCCACGGAUCUCAUUUCUACCUGAAGGACUCUGGAAACGAAAAAAUAAUUUUGGAUUACGUCACAAAACAUUUGGAAACCUCAGAAAUGGACUAUUUAUAAACAAAACGACUUUUGUCAAUUUUCUACUAAUUUAUGGUGAUAUUUAAUUGUGUUACCAGUGUAGCUUGUUAUGUUUUGACUGCCCCAGUCCCACGAGUACAGUGAAUUCAGUAACUAAGCUAAAAGUAUUGAGACUUAAAAUAAUAUCCUAUUCCUGUUACUGACUUAUUUUAAUUAUCUAGAGUUUGUGAUUUAGAAAGAUUUGAUUAAAUAUCUCUGGAUGCAUCUUUUUCUGCUUUAA